This 253-nucleotide ribosomal RNA is filed under the name uncultured bacterium. RNAcentral's name for it is "partial 16S ribosomal RNA". It matches the Rfam family "Bacterial small subunit ribosomal RNA", at positions 524 to 776 of the family's 1533-position model. The record is from RNAcentral.
UACGUAGGGACCAAGCGUUGUUCGGAUUUACUGGGCGUAAAGGGCGCGUAGGCGGCGUGGUAAGUCACUUGUGAAAUCUCCGAGCUUAACUCGGAACGGUCAAGUGAUACUGCUGUGCUAGAGUGCAGAAGGGGCAAUCGGAAUUCUUGGUGUAGCGGUGAAAUGCGUAGAUAUCAAGAGGAACACCGGUGGCGAAGGCGGGUCUCUGGGCCGAUACUGACGCUGAGGAGCGAAAGCGUGGGGAGCGAACAGG